UUUAAGACGAGGAUAACAACCGGAAACAGUUGCUAAGACUGGAUAGGAAAUAAAAAGGCAUCUUUUUAUUUUUAAAAGACCUUUUUCGGAAGGUAUGCUUAAAGAUGAGCUUGCGCCACAUUAGUUUGUUGGUGGGGUAAUGGCCUACCAAGACGAUGAUGUGUAGCUGGACUGAGAGGUCGAACAGCCACAUUGGGACUGAGACACGGCCCAAACUCCUACGGGAGGCAGCAGUAGGGAAUUUUCGGCAAUGGAGGAAACUCUGACCGAGCAACGCCGCGUGAACGAUGAAGUAUUUCGGUAUGUAAAGUUCUUUUAUUGAAGAAGAAAAAAUAGUGGAAAAACUAUCUUGACGUUAUUCAAUGAAUAAGCCCCGGCUAACUAUGUGCCAGCAGCCGCGGUAAGACAUAGGGGGCGAGCGUUAUCCGGAAUUAUUGGGCGUAAAGGGUGCGUAGGCGGUUAGGAAAGUCUAUAAUUUAAUUUCAGUGCUUAACGCUGUCUUGUUAUAGAAACUACCUUGACUAGAGUUAGAUAGAGGCAAGCGGAAUUCCAUGUGUAGCGGUAAAAUGUGUAAAUAUAUGGAGGAACACCAGAAGCGUAGGCGGCUUGCUGGGUCUUGACUGACGCUGAGGCACGAAAGCGUGGGUAGCAAACAGGAUUAGAUACCCUGGUAGUCCACGCCGUAAACGAUGAGUACUAAGUGUCGGGAUAAAACUCGGUACUGAAGUUAACACAUUAAGUACUCCGCCUGAGUAGUACGUACGCAAGUAUGAAACUUAAAGGAAUUGACGGGACUCCGCACAAGCGGUGGAUCAUGUUGUUUAAUUCGAAGAUACACGAAAAAUCUUACCAGGUCUUGACAUGCUCUGCAAAGCUAUAGAAAUAUAGUGGAGGUUAUCAGGGACACAGGUGGUGCAUGGUUGUCGUCAGUUCGUGUCGUGAGAUGUUAGGUUAAGUCCUAAAACGAGCGCAACCCUUGUCGUUAGUUACCAGCACGUAAUGGUGGGCACUUUAACGAGACUGCCAAUUAAACAUUGGAGGAAGGUGAGGAUUACGUCAAAUCAUCAUGCCCCUUAUGAUCUGGGCUACAAACGUGAUACAAUGGCUGUUACAAAGAGUAGCUGAAGCGCGAGUUUUUAGCCAAUCUCAAAAAAGCAGUCUCAGUUCGGAUUGAAGUCUGUAACUCGACUUCAUGAAGUUGGAAUCGCUAGUAAUCGCGAAUCAGCAUGUCGCGGUGAAUACGUUCUCGGGGUUUGUACACACCACCCGUCAAACCACGAAAGUUAGCAAUACCC
This 1295-nucleotide ribosomal RNA is filed under the name Candidatus Phytoplasma fraxini. Its description in RNAcentral is "bacterial SSU rRNA". It matches the Rfam family "Bacterial small subunit ribosomal RNA", at positions 131 to 1422 of the family's 1533-position model. Lineage: Bacteria; Bacillati; Mycoplasmatota; Mollicutes; Acholeplasmatales; Acholeplasmataceae. The record is from RNAcentral.